RNAcentral lists this ribosomal RNA (466 nucleotides) under uncultured bacterium. Its description in RNAcentral is "partial 16S ribosomal RNA". It matches the Rfam family "Bacterial small subunit ribosomal RNA", at positions 28 to 507 of the family's 1533-position model. The record is from RNAcentral.
GACGAACGCUGGCGGCGUGCUUAACACAUGCAAGUCGAACGGAAAGGCCCUGCUUGCAGGGUACUCGAGUGGCGAACGGGUGAGUAACACGUGGGUGAUCUGCCCUGCACUUCGGGAUAAGCCUGGGAAACUGGGUCUAAUACCGGAUAGGAGCCAUUUUUAGUGUGAUGGUUGGAAAGUUUUUUUCGGUGUAGGAUGAGCUCGCGGCCUAUCAGCUUGUUGGUGGGGUAAUGGCCUACCAAGGCGGCGACGGGUAGCCGGCCUGGGAGGGUGGACGGCCACAUUGAGACUGAGAUACGGCCCAGACUCCUACGGGAGGCAGAAGUGGGGAAUAGUGCACAAUGGGCGCAAGCCUGAUGCAGCGACGCCGCGGGGGGGAUGACGGCCUUCGGGUUGGAAACUCAUUUCGCUAGGGACGAAGCUUUUUGUGACGGUACCUAGAGAAGAAGCACCGGCUAACUACGUG